GACGAACGCUGGCGGCGUGCCUAAUACAUGCAAGUCGAACGCUUCUUUCCUCCCGAGUGCUUGCACUCAAUUGGAAAGAGGAGUGGCGGACGGGUGAGUAACACGUGGGUAACCUACCCAUCAGAGGGGGAUAACACUUGGAAACAGGUGCUAAUACCGCAUAACAGUUUAUGCCGCAUGGCAUAAGAGUGAAAGGCGCUUUCGGGUGUCGUUGAUGGAUGGACCCGCGGUGCAUUAGCUAGUUGGUGAGGUAACGGCUCACCAAGGCCACGAUGCAUAGCCGACCUGAGAGGGUGAUCGGCCACACUGGGACUGAGACACGGCCCAGACUCCUACGGGAGGCAGCAGUAGGGAAUCUUCGGCAAUGGACGAAAGUCUGACCGAGCAACGCCGCGUGAGUGAAGAAGGUUUUCGGAUCGGAAAACUCUGUUGUUAGAGAAGAACAAGGACGUUAGUAACUGAACGUCCCCUGACGGUAUCUAACCAGAAAGCCACGGCUAACUACGUG
Molecule: ribosomal RNA, 508 nt
Filed under: uncultured bacterium
Lineage: Bacteria
Description: partial 16S ribosomal RNA
Rfam family: Bacterial small subunit ribosomal RNA
Source: RNAcentral